UUUAAUGAGAGUUUGAUCCUGGCUCAGGACGAACGCUGGCGGCGUGCCUAAUACAUGCAAGUAGAACGCUGAAGUCUGGUGCU
Molecule: ribosomal RNA, 83 nt
Filed under: Streptococcus suis
Lineage: Bacteria; Bacillati; Bacillota; Bacilli; Lactobacillales; Streptococcaceae
Description: partial 16S ribosomal RNA
Rfam family: Bacterial small subunit ribosomal RNA
Source: RNAcentral